RNAcentral lists this ribosomal RNA (1429 nucleotides) under uncultured organism. Its description in RNAcentral is "SSU rRNA". It matches the Rfam family "Bacterial small subunit ribosomal RNA". The record is from RNAcentral.
CGGCUUAACACAUGCAAGUCGAGGGGCAGCAUGCUUUUAGCUUGCUAAGGCCGAUGGCGACCGGCGCACGGGUGAGUAACACGUAUCCAACCUGCCGUCUACUCUUGGACAGCCUUCUGAAAGGAAGAUUAAUACAAGAUGGCAUCAUGAGUCCGCAUGUUCACAUGAUUAAAGGUAUUCCGGUAGACGAUGGGGAUGCGUUCCAUUAGAUAGUAGGCGGGGUAACGGCCCACCUAGUCUUCGAUGGAUAGGGGUUCUGAGAGGAAGAUCCCCCACAUUGGAACUGAGACACGGUCCAAACUCCUACGGGAGGCAGCAGUGAGGAAUAUUGGUCAAUGGGCGAGAGCCUGAACCAGCCAAGUAGCGUGAAGGAUGACUGCCCUAUGGGUUGUAAACUUCUUUUAUAAAGGAAUAAAGUCGGGUAUGGAUACCCGUUUGCAUGUACUUUAUGAAUAAGGAUCGGCUAACUCCGUGCCAGCAGCCGCGGUAAUACGGAGGAUCCGAGCGUUAUCCGGAUUUAUUGGGUUUAAAGGGAGCGUAGAUGGAUGUUUAAGUCAGUUGUGAAAGUUUGCGGCUCAACCGUAAAAUUGCAGUUGAUACUGGAUAUCUUGAGUGCAGUUGAGGCAGGCGGAAUUCGUGGUGUAGCGGUGAAAUGCUUAGAUAUCACGAAGAACUCCGAUUGCGAAGGCAGCCUGCUAAGCUGCAACUGACAUUGAGGCUCGAAAGUGUGGGUAUCAAACAGGAUUAGAUACCCUGGUAGUCCACACGGUAAACGAUGAAUACUCGCUGUUUGCGAUAUACGGCAAGCGGCCAAGCGAAAGCGUUAAGUAUUCCACCUGGGGAGUACGCCGGCAACGGUGAAACUCAAAGGAAUUGACGGGGGCCCGCACAAGCGGAGGAACAUGUGGUUUAAUUCGAUGAUACGCGAGGAACCUUACCCGGGCUUAAAUUGCAGAUGAAUUACGGUGAAAGCCGUAAGCUGCAAGGCAUCUGUGAAGGUGCUGCAUGGUUGUCGUCAGCUCGUGCCGUGAGGUGUCGGCUUAAGUGCCAUAACGAGCGCAACCCUUGUUGUCAGUUACUAACAGGUUCUGCUGAGGACUCUGACAAGACUGCCAUCGUAAGAUGUGAGGAAGGUGGGGAUGACGUCAAAUCAGCACGGCCCUUACGUCCGGGGCUACACACGUGUUACAAUGGGGGGUACAGAGGGCCGCUACCACGCGAGUGGAUGCCAAUCCCAAAAACCUCUCUCAGUUCGGACUGGAGUCUGCAACCCGACUCCACGAAGCUGGAUUCGCUAGUAAUCGCGCAUCAGCCACGGCGCGGUGAAUACGUUCCCGGGCCUUGUACACACCGCCCGUCAAGCCAUGGGAGCCGGGGGUACCUGAAGUGCGUAACCGCGAGGAGCGCCCUAGGGUAAAACUGGUGACUG